AGAGUUUGAUCCUGGCUCAGGACGAACGCUGGCGGCGUGCCUAACACAUGCAAGUCGAACGAAACUUUUUGCUUCGGUAGAAAGUUUAGUGGCGGACGGGUGAGUAACGCGUGAGGAACCUGCCUUUCAGAGGGGGAUAAUGUCUGGAAACGGACACUAAUACCGCAUGACAUUUUCUGUUCACAUGGACAGAAAAUCAAAGGAGCAAUCUGCUGAAAGAUGGACUCGCGUCCGAUUAGCUAGAUGGUGAGAUAAUAGCCCACCAUGGCGACGAUCGGUAGCCGGACUGAGAGGUUGAACGGCCACAUUGGGACUGAGACACGGCCCAGACUCCUACGGGAGGCAGCAGUGGGGGAUAUUGCACAAUGGAGGAAACUCUGAUGCAGCAACGCCGCGUGAAGGAAGACGGUCUUCGGAUUGUAAACUUUUGUACCUAGGGACGAUAAUGACGGUACCUAGGCAGCAAGCUCCGGCUAACUACGUGCCAGCAGCCGCGGUAAUACGUAGGGAGCGAGCGUUGUCCGGAUUUACUGGGUGUAAAGGGUGCGUAGGCGGCCAAGCAAGUCAGCUGUGAAAACUAUGGGCUUAACCCAUAGCCUGCAAUUGAAACUGUUUGGCUUGAGUGAAGUAGAGGUAGGUGGAAUUCCCGGUGUAGCGGUGAAAUGCGUAGAGAUUGGGAGGAACACCAGUGGCGAAGGCGACCUACUGGGCUUUAACUGACGCUGAAGCACGAAAGCAUGGGUAGCAAACAGGAUUAGAUACCCUGGUAGUCCAUGCUGUAAACGAUGAUUACUAGGUUGUGGGGG
Molecule: ribosomal RNA, 806 nt
Filed under: uncultured bacterium
Lineage: Bacteria
Description: bacterial SSU rRNA
Rfam family: Bacterial small subunit ribosomal RNA
Source: RNAcentral